Molecule: ribosomal RNA, 382 nt
Filed under: Alteromonadales bacterium HD-C-03-5
Lineage: Bacteria; Pseudomonadati; Pseudomonadota; Gammaproteobacteria; Alteromonadales
Description: bacterial SSU rRNA
Rfam family: Bacterial small subunit ribosomal RNA
Source: RNAcentral
AGGUAGUUUACUACCUUUGCCGGCGAGCGGCGGACGGGUGAGUAAUGCCUAGGGAUCUGCCCAGUCGUGGGGGAUAACAGUUGGAAACGACUGCUAAUACCGCAUACGCCCUACGGGGGAAAGGAGGGGACCUUCGGGCCUUUCGCGAUUGGAUGAACCUAGGUGGGAUUAGCUAGUUGGUGAGGUAAUGGCUCACCAAGGCGACGAUCCCUAGCUGUUCUGAGAGGAUGAUCAGCCACACUGGGACUGAGACACGGCCCAGACUCCUACGGGAGGCAGCAGUGGGGAAUAUUGCACAAUGGGGGAAACCCUGAUGCAGCCAUGCCGCGUGUGUGAAGAAGGCCUUCGGGUUGUAAAGCACUUUCAGUAGGGAGGAAAGGUU